ACAGCACGGGCGGCUCCGGCACGCUUUGCCUCGCUGUGUUCCGGUGCCGCACUGCUGCGGGAGGACGGGGCCAGCGCUCCAAAGGCCAGCGCAGAGCGCUGGCGAAUGGGAGGCGAGGAAUGCUUGGGCUAAGGAUGGAUUGAAACCGGGCUGCCUGUAAGUGCGCAGAGAGACCUUUGUCAUCCACGCUGCCAAAAGGAGCACCUGGUACACCCUAUAGGUGUGCCUUGUGUUGCACGUGUUUUCAUUUCCUGUUUGUGUCAUCCCAAAAAGCAGGGACGGAGCAAAUGGGACUGGUUUCCACUAUUGCUGUGUGAAGGCUUUUGACAGGCUGCUGCAUUGAUGUCCAUGCAGGAGAGUGGGAGAUGGGUCCCUGCUGGCUGCCGUGUCCUGGGUGGGCAGAGAGCUCUGACCUUGGCCAGAUGGGCUGGUUUCUGGGUGUUUUGAUCCUGACGUCGCCAAAACCUCAGAUUUGCUGAACUGGGGCUCUUACCUGUGUGACCCGUGAAAUGUCCCGGAAGCUGAUCGAUGUCUUUGUGC
This is a long non-coding RNA of Vidua macroura (Pin-tailed whydah), 540 nucleotides long. RefSeq lists it as uncharacterized. The transcript has 3 exons. Lineage: Eukaryota; Metazoa; Chordata; Aves; Passeriformes; Viduidae. The record is from RefSeq and is a predicted model, not a curated record.